RNAcentral lists this ribosomal RNA (710 nucleotides) under uncultured Flavobacteriaceae bacterium. Its description in RNAcentral is "bacterial SSU rRNA". It matches the Rfam family "Bacterial small subunit ribosomal RNA", at positions 53 to 756 of the family's 1533-position model. The record is from RNAcentral. Lineage: Bacteria; Pseudomonadati; Bacteroidota; Flavobacteriia; Flavobacteriales; Flavobacteriaceae.
ACAUGCAAGUCGAACGGUAACAGGAAUUAGCUUGCUAAUUUGCUGACGAGUGGCGCACGGGUGCGUAACGCGUAUACAAUCUACCUUUUGCUGAGGGAUAGCCCAGAGAAAUUUGGAUUAAUACCUCAUAGUAUUAUUGAGUGGCAUCAUUUAAUAAUUAAAGGUUACGGCAAAAGAUGAGUAUGCGUACCAUUAGUUUGUUGGUAAGGUAACAGCUUACCAAGACUACGAUGGUUAGGGGUCCUGAGAGGGAGAUCCCCCACACUGGUACUGAGACACGGACCAGACUCCUACGGGAGGCAGCAGUGAGGAAUAUUGGACAAUGGACGAGAGUCUGAUCCAGCCAUGCCGCGUGCAGGAAGACUGCCCUAUGGGUUGUAAACUGCUUUUAUACAGGAAGAAUAAGGUCUACGUGUAGACUGAUGACGGUACUGUAAGAAUAAGGACCGGCUAACUCCGUGCCAGCAGCCGCGGUAAUACGGAGGGUCCGAGCGUUAUCCGGAAUUAUUGGGUUUAAAGGGUCCGUAGGCGGAUGAUUAAGUCAGNGGUGAAAGUUUGCAGCUCAACUGUAAAAUUGCCUUUGAUACUGGUUAUCUUGAGUUGUAUUGAAGUAGGCGGAAUAUGUAGUGUAGCGGUGAAAUGCAUAGAUAUUACAUAGAACACCAAUUGCGAAGGCAGCUUACUAAGUACUAACUGACGCUGAUGAUUGA